RNAcentral lists this transfer RNA (66 nucleotides) under Rossia macrosoma. RNAcentral's name for it is "tRNA-Gln". Lineage: Eukaryota; Metazoa; Mollusca; Cephalopoda; Sepiida; Sepiolidae. The record is from RNAcentral.
UACAUUAUGGUGUAUGUGCACGUAAAUUUUUGGAUUUUAAGGAGAAGUUCAAUUCUUUUUUUGUAG